UACAGAGGUCCCAAGCGUUGUUCGGAUUCACUGGGCGUAAAGGGUGCGUAGGUGGCGGGGUAAGUCUGAUGUGAAAGCCCCGGGCUCAACCUGGGAAGUGCAUUGGAUACUGAGAGACUUGAAUACGGGAGAGGGCAGUGGAAUUCCUAGUGUAGGAGUGAAAUCCGUAGAUAUUAGGAGGAACACCGGUGGCGAAGGCGGCUGCCUGGACCGAUAUUGACGCUGAGACGCGAAAGCGUGGGGAGCAAACAGG
This 253-nucleotide ribosomal RNA is filed under the name uncultured prokaryote. RNAcentral's name for it is "partial 16S ribosomal RNA". It matches the Rfam family "Bacterial small subunit ribosomal RNA", at positions 524 to 776 of the family's 1533-position model. The record is from RNAcentral.